This 920-nucleotide ribosomal RNA is filed under the name Staphylococcus aureus. RNAcentral describes it as "partial 23S ribosomal RNA". It matches the Rfam family "Bacterial large subunit ribosomal RNA", at positions 1290 to 2206 of the family's 2925-position model. The record is from RNAcentral. Lineage: Bacteria; Bacillati; Bacillota; Bacilli; Caryophanales; Staphylococcaceae.
GAGAAUGCCGGUGUGAGUAGCGAAAGACGGGUGAGAAUCCCGUCCACCGAUUGACUAAGGUUUCCAGAGGAAGGCUCGUCCGCUCUGGGUUAGUCGGGUCCUAAGCUGAGGCCGACAGGCGUAGGCGAUGGAUAACAGGUUGAUAUUCCUGUACCACCUAUAAUCGUUUUAAUCGAUGGGGGGACGCAGUAGGAUAGGCGAAGCGUGCGAUUGGAUUGCACGUCUAAGCAGUAAGGCUGAGUAUUAGGCAAAUCCGGUACUCGUUAAGGCUGAGCUGUGAUGGGGAGAAGACAUUGUGUCUUCGAGUCGUUGAUUUCACACUGCCGAGAAAAGCCUCUAGAUAGAAAAUAGGUGCCCGUACCGCAAACCGACACAGGUAGUCAAGAUGAGAAUUCUAAGGUGAGCGAGCGAACUCUCGUUAAGGAACUCGGCAAAAUGACCCCGUAACUUCGGGAGAAGGGGUGCUCUUUAGGGUUAACGCCCAGAAGAGCCGCAGUGAAUAGGCCCAAGCGACUGUUUAUCAAAAACACAGGUCUCUGCUAAACCGUAAGGUGAUGUAUAGGGGCUGACGCCUGCCCGGUGCUGGAAGGUUAAGAGGAGUGGUUAGCUUCUGCGAAGCUACGAAUCGAAGCCCCAGUAAACGGCGGCCGUAACUAUAACGGUCCUAAGGUAGCGAAAUUCCUUGUCGGGUAAGUUCCGACCCGCACGAAAGGCGUAACGAUUUGGGCACUGUCUCAACGAGAGACUCGGUGAAAUCAUAGUACCUGUGAAGAUGCAGGUUACCCGCGACAGGACGGAAAGACCCCGUGGAGCUUUACUGUAGCCUGAUAUUGAAAUUCGGCACAGCUUGUACAGGAUAGGUAGGAGCCUUUGAAACGUGAGCGCUAGCUUACGUGGAGGCGCUGGUGGGAUACUACCCU